This 301-nucleotide ribosomal RNA is filed under the name uncultured bacterium. RNAcentral describes it as "partial 16S ribosomal RNA". It matches the Rfam family "Bacterial small subunit ribosomal RNA", at positions 509 to 807 of the family's 1533-position model. The record is from RNAcentral.
CAGCCGCCGCGGGAAUACGUAGGGUGCGAGCGUUAAUCGGAAUUACUGGGCGUAAAGCGUGCGCAGGCGGUUUUGUAAGACAGGCGUGAAAUCCCCGGGCUCAACCUGGGAAUGGCGCUUGUGACUGCAAAGCUAGAGUGCGGCAGAGGGGGAUGGAAUUCCGCGUGUAGCAGUGAAAUGCGUAGAUAUGUGGAGGAACACCGAUGGCGAAGGCAGCCCCCUGGGCCAAUACUGACGCUCAUGCACGAAAGCGUGGGGAGCAAACAGGAUUAGAUACCCCUGUAGUCCCUGUCUCUUAUAC